ACGUGAAACAAAACCCGCUCUUCUCCACUGCUAACUGCUAACUGCUAACUGACUCGCGUAGCUAGCUAACGAGCUUCAUUUUUAUUCGAAUCGACUCGCUAACGCGAUAAAGAGCGAGUGUCGUGUUCAUGAAUGUAAAGAUAAACAGAGGUUCAGUGACAUCACAGACUGAUUUAAACUCAGGACGUUGGACUUUACGCUAAAACAUCACAGUCCGGAUGAAGAAACUAGCAUCAGCGCAGCUCUAGCUAUAAUGUUGGAGAGAACUUGUUUCGCCAACUUUCCACAACAUUAAAGGACAUCGUGCAGGGUGCAGCUGAUGAACAGGGGAUGAGUGCUUAAGAACGGAGUGUGUGUGUGUGUGAGAUGACAUGGAUGAGACGUGGAGUGUGUGAGUGUGUGUGUGUGUGUGAGUGAGUGGAGUCUGAUAGGCGAGAGGUCGUGGAGUUCGACUGCAGAAAAAGACACCAAAAUUCAGCUGAAUAAAAACCCCGCUGCUACUCAGCUCCCGCUCGUGUAAUUGGUGUUGGAGGAGCUCCGUGUGUGUGUGUGUGUGUGUGUGUGUGUGUGUGUGAGUGUGUGUGUGUGUGUGAGUGAGUGAGUGAGAGGUGGAUUUAGGGGUUUUUGUUCCGUUCCUCGGUUCCCUGCUGUUUAUGGAUGCUCACCAAAUCUGUUCUCGGCGUAUGAAAGAGAAGAAGCUGGUCUUUUCUCUCGUCCGCUUCAGUUCUCAUCGUUUAAAACCCAGUGAAGACGCAGAACAGCGCAAACUGUGACCUUUAACCCAGUGAAACGCAGCCGAUCUGCUGAGACACACACCGCUCACGUCAUUCAUUCCGUCCUGGAGCUAAGAAGAACCCCCACGUUGACCCUCCACCCCAGACCACAGAUCCUCAGUCCGAUGCGAUCAGGUACCACGCUGACCGAUUCCUCGGACCGAUCCUACGCCUGGGUCCGAUCUUUCUUCAGUUCCCUGCUCACAAAUUUAUUUCCUAACUGCAGUCAGUUCCUGCGAACACGGAGGAAAGCGUAGGACCUCGUUACGGUUUCAUCUUCUCCCGUCACGUCCGACUCUCAUUACACGUGUACAGAGACGUUAGGAGGAAGAAUAGAGCUUGGAAGCAGCAGACUGUUGGUGCCUGUGGUGAGUGUAUGUAGCUCGUGCAGUUAGCACGCUUUGCUAAUCUGAUCUGAGAACAGAGACGAGCGCGUAACGCGCAUCACACACCUGAUGUUUACUUUCACACAGAUUAGUGUUACUUCAUCUGUUCCACUCGUUAGCUUUAGACGCUGUAUAUAACUACUGUUUCUCAUCAGAGCGAAAGAAAGAACUCCUCCCACUGCCAUGUAACUCCUCCCACUCUGGUUAAACUGCUCCCACUGCCAUGGAACUACUUCUUCUGUCCUGUAACCCCUCCCACUUUUGUGUAACUCCUCCCACUGUGGUCUAACUCCUUCCUCUGUCCUGUAACCCCUCCCACUGCCAUGUAACUCCUUCCUCGGUCCUGUAACCCCUCCCACUUUGGUGUAACCUCGCCCACUUUGGUGUAACCCCUCCCACUGCCAAGUAAUACCUUCCUCUGUCCUGUAACCCCUCCCACUGUGAUGUAACUCCUUCCACUAUCAUGUAACUCCUCCCACUCUGGUGUAAGUCCUCCCACUGCCAAGAAACUCCUUCCCCUGUCCAGUAACCCCUUUCACUGUGGUGUAACCCCUCCCACUAUCAUGUAACUCCUCCCACUGUCAUGUAACCUUCCUCUGUCCUGUAACUCCUCCCACUGUCAUGUAACUCCUUCUUCUGUCCUGUAACCCCUCCCACUGUGGUAUAACUCCUCCCACUGUUGUAUAACUCCUCCCAUUGUUAUAUAAUCCCUCCCACUGUGUUGUAACUCCUCCUACUAUGGUGUAACUUCUUAGUCAGCUUUGUGCAGUUCAGUGUGGACAAAAGUUUUUAUUUUAGAUUUUUUAAAUAUUAAUUUUAAUGAACACAAAAACACUCAAAAGUUGUAUCAGUUGCACAAAUGUUCAAUACAUAAAGAUCUG
Molecule: long non-coding RNA, 2040 nt
Organism: Ictalurus punctatus (channel catfish)
Lineage: Eukaryota; Metazoa; Chordata; Actinopteri; Siluriformes; Ictaluridae
Source: Ensembl